RNAcentral lists this ribosomal RNA (480 nucleotides) under uncultured Desulfovibrio sp. RNAcentral's name for it is "bacterial SSU rRNA". It matches the Rfam family "Bacterial small subunit ribosomal RNA", at positions 907 to 1382 of the family's 1533-position model. The record is from RNAcentral. Lineage: Bacteria; Pseudomonadati; Thermodesulfobacteriota; Desulfovibrionia; Desulfovibrionales; Desulfovibrionaceae.
AGAAUUGACGGGGCCGCACAAGCGGUGGAGUAUGUGGUUUAAUUCGACGCAACGCGCAGAACCUUACCUAGACUUGACAUCCCGGGGAUUUUCUGGAAACAGAGAAGUGCUUUAGCAAUAAAGAACCCGGUGACAGGUGCUGCAUGGCUGUCGUCAGCUCGUGUCGUGAGAUGUUGGGUUAAGUCCCGCAACGAGCGCAACCCUCGCCUUUAGUUGCCAGCAUUCAGUUGGGCACUCUAGAGGGACUGCCGGUGUCAAACCGGAGGAAGGUGGGGAUGACGUCAAGUCCUCAUGGCCUUUAUGACCAGGGCUACACACGUACUACAAUGGCCGGUACAAAGGGCAGCCACUUAGCGAUAAGGAGCCAAUCCCGUAAAGCCGGUCUCAGUCCGGAUCGCAGUCUGCAACUCGACUGCGUGAAGUUGGAAUCGCUAGUAAUCGUAGAUCAGCAUGCCUACGGUCGAAUACGUUCCGGGCCUU